AGGACGAACGCUGGCGGCAUGCCUAACACAUGCAAGUCGAACGGGGGUAGCAAUACCCUAGUGGCGAACGGGUGAGUAACACAUAAGCAAUCUGCCCUUCACAGGGGGAUAACAGCGGGAAACUGCUGCUAAUACCGCAUAAGACCACGGUACCGCAUGGUACAGGGGUAAAAACGAAUCAGUGGUGAAGGAUGAGCUUAUGUCCCAUUAGCUAGUUGGUGAGAUAACAGCCCACCAAGGCGACGAUGGGUAGCCGACCUGAGAGGGUGAUCGGCCACACUGGAACUGAGACACGGUCCAGACUCCUACGGGAGGCAGCAGUGGGGAAUAUUGGGCAAUGGAGGAAACUCCUUACCCAGCAAUGCCGCGUGAGUGAAGAAGGUCUUCGGAUUGUAAAGCUCUUUGAUUGGGGACGAAGAAAGUGACGGUACCCAAAGAACAAGCCCCGGCUAACUACGUGCCAGCAGCUGC
RNAcentral lists this ribosomal RNA (471 nucleotides) under uncultured bacterium. RNAcentral's name for it is "bacterial SSU rRNA". It matches the Rfam family "Bacterial small subunit ribosomal RNA", at positions 26 to 518 of the family's 1533-position model. The record is from RNAcentral.